RNAcentral lists this ribosomal RNA (309 nucleotides) under uncultured bacterium. Its description in RNAcentral is "partial 16S ribosomal RNA". It matches the Rfam family "Bacterial small subunit ribosomal RNA", at positions 504 to 807 of the family's 1533-position model. The record is from RNAcentral.
AGAGACAGCAGUCGCCGCGGUAAUACGUAGGUGGCAAGCGUUGUCCGGAAUUAUUGGGCGUAAAGGGCUCGCAGGCGGUUUCUUAAGUCUGAUGUGAAAGCCCCCGGCUCAACCGGGGAGGGUCAUUGGAAACUGGGAAACUUGAGUGCAGAAGAGGAGAGUGGAAUUCCACGCGUAGCGGUGAAAUGCGUAGAGAUGUGGAGGAACACCAGUGGCGAAGGCGACUCUCUGGUCUGUAACUGACGCUGAGGAGCGAAAGCGUUGGGAGCGAACAGGAUUAGAUACCCCCGUAGUCCCUGUCUCUUAUAC